UGGGGGAUAUUGCACAAUGGGCGCAAGCCUGAUGCAGCGACGCCGCGUGGGGGAUGAAGGCCUUCGGGUUGUAAACUUCUUUUGCUCUGAACAAGGCGCACUUUGGGGUGUGUUGAGUGUAGGGGUUGAUUAGCGCCGGCUAACUACGUGCCAGCAGCCGCGGUAAUACGUAGGGCGCGAGCGUUGUCCGGAAUUAUUGGGCGUAAAGGGCUUGUAGGUGGCUGGUUGCGUCUGUCGUGAAAGAUCAUGGCUUAACGGUGGGUUUGCGGUGGGUACGGGCUGGCUUGAGUGCAGUAGGAGAGGCUGGAAUUCCUGGUGUAGCGGUGGAAUGCGCAGAUAUCAGGAGGAAUACCGGUGGCGAAGGCGGGUCUCUGGGCUGUUACUGACACUGAGGAGCGAAAGCAUGGGGAGCGAACAGG
Molecule: ribosomal RNA, 419 nt
Filed under: bacterium
Lineage: Bacteria
Description: partial 16S ribosomal RNA
Rfam family: Bacterial small subunit ribosomal RNA
Source: RNAcentral